This 307-nucleotide long non-coding RNA is filed under the name Helianthus annuus (common sunflower). Its description in RNAcentral is "sRNA HanXRQr2_Chr16g0771561". The record is from RNAcentral. Lineage: Eukaryota; Viridiplantae; Streptophyta; Magnoliopsida; Asterales; Asteraceae.
UAUAUAAAAACUCCCAACAAAAACAAGCUACUUCCUUCACUCGCAGUGAAAGCUUUGCCCCCAACUUAUAAGGUUCGGAUCUCAUCUGCAAUUUCGCUCUAUUGUUGUGUUGUGAUCUGGCUACCAAGAGAGAAAUUCACAAGUUUUGCGGCGAAAUCGAGCACAUCUAGAUCUAUCGUGAUUCUUGAAGAAAGAAGACUGCAUUCGUGACAUUAAAAGCUCUUGAAAUUGCACUAUGAUGAAAUUACAACAUCAGCAAGGGAGGUACGAACGAUCUCAAGGGUGGUCUAGAGGAGAUCUAAAGUAA